GGUCAAGUGAAGAAGCGCAUACGGUGGAUGCCUUGGCAGUCAGAGGCGAUGAAAGACGUGGUAGCCUGCGAAAAGCUUCGGGGAGUCGGCAAACAGACUUUGAUCCGGAGAUGUCUGAAUGGGGGAACCCAGCCAUCAUAAGAUGGUUAUCUUGUACUGAAUACAUAGGUGCAAGAGGCGAACCAGGGGAACUGAAACAUCUAAGUACCCUGAGGAAAAGAAAUCAACCGAGAUUCCCUUAGUAGUGGCGAGCGAACGGGGACUAGCCCUUAAGUGGCUUUGAGAUUAGCGGAACGCUCUGGAAAGUGCGGCCAUAGUGGGUGAUAGCCCUGUACGCGAAAAUCUCUUAGUCAUGAAAUCGAGUAGGACGGAGCACGAGAAACUUUGUCUGAAUAUGGGGGGACCAUCCUCCAAGGCUAAAUACUACUGACUGACCGAUAGUGAACUAGUACCGUGAGGGAAAGGCGAAAAGAACCCCGGAGAGGGGAGUGAAAUAGAUCCUGAAACCGUAUGCGUACAAGCAGUGGGAGCCCACUUUGUUGGGUGACUGCGUACCUUUUGUAUAAUGGGUCAGCGACUUAUUUUCAGUGGCGAGCUUAACCGAAUAGGGGAGGCGUAGCGAAAGCGAGUCUUAAUAGGGCGUCUAGUCGCUGGGAAUAGACCCGAAACCGGGCGAUCUAUCCAUGGGCAGGUUGAAGGUUGGGUAACACUAACUGGAGGACCGAACCGACUACCGUUGAAAAGUUAGCGGAUGACCUGUGGAUCGGAGUGAAAGGCUAAUCAAGCUCGGAGAUAGCUGGUUCUCCUCGAAAGCUAUUUAGGUAGCGCCUCAUGUAUCACUGUAGGGGGUAGAGCACUGUUUCGGCUAGGGGGUCAUCCCGACUUACCAAACCGAUGCAAACUCCGAAUACCUACAAGUGCCGAGCAUGGGAGACACACGGCGGGUGCUAACGUCCGUCGUGAAAAGGGAAACAACCCAGACCGUCAGCUAAGGUCCCAAAGUUAUGGUUAAGUGGGAAACGAUGUGGGAAGGCUUAGACAGCUAGGAGGUUGGCUUAGAAGCAGCCACCCUUUAAAGAAAGCGUAAUAGCUCACUAGUCGAGUCGGCCUGCGCGGAAGAUGUAACGGGGCUCAAACCAUACACCGAAGCUACGGGUAUCACGUAAGUGAUGCGGUAGAGGAGCGUUCUGUAAGCCUGUGAAGGUGAGUUGAGAAGCUUGCUGGAGGUAUCAGAAGUGCGAAUGCUGACAUGAGUAACGACAAUGGGUGUGAAAAACACCCACGCCGAAAGACCAAGGUUUCCUGCGCAACGUUAAUCGACGCAGGGUUAGUCGGUCCCUAAGGCGAGGCUGAAAAGCGUAGUCGAUGGAAAACAGGUUAAUAUUCCUGUACUUCUGGUUAUUGCGAUGGAGGGACGGAGAAGGCUAGGCCAGCUUGGCGUUGGUUGUCCAAGUUUAAGGUGGUAGGCUGAGAUCUUAGGUAAAUCCGGGAUCUUAAGGCCGAGAGCUGAUGACGAGUUAUCUUUUAGAUGACGAAGUGGUUGAUGCCAUGCUUCCAAGAAAAGCUUCUAAGCUUCAGGUAACCAGGAACCGUACCCCAAACCGACACAGGUGGUUGGGUAGAGAAUACCAAGGCGCUUGAGAGAACUCGGGUGAAGGAACUAGGCAAAAUGGCACCGUAACUUCGGGAGAAGGUGCGCCGGUGAGGGUGAAGGACUUGCUCCGUAAGCUCAUGCCGGUCGAAGAUACCAGGCCGCUGCGACUGUUUAUUAAAAACACAGCACUCUGCAAACACGAAAGUGGACGUAUAGGGUGUGACGCCUGCCCGGUGCCGGAAGGUUAAUUGAUGGGGUUAGCUAACGCGAAGCUCUUGAUCGAAGCCCCGGUAAACGGCGGCCGUAACUAUAACGGUCCUAAGGUAGCGAAAUUCCUUGUCGGGUAAGUUCCGACCUGCACGAAUGGCGUAACGAUGGCGGCGCUGUCUCCACCCGAGACUCAGUGAAAUUGAAAUCGCUGUGAAGAUGCAGUGUAUCCGCGGCUAGACGGAAAGACCCCGUGAACCUUUACUAUAGCUUUGCACUGGACUUUGAAUUUGCUUGUGUAGGAUAGGUGGGAGGCUUUGAAGCGUGGACGCCAGUUCGCGUGGAGCCAUCCUUGAAAUACCACCCUGGCAACUUUGAGGUUCUAACUCAGGUCCGUUAUCCGGAUCGAGGACAGUGUAUGGUGGGUAGUUUGACUGGGGCGGUCUCCUCCUAAAGAGUAACGGAGGAGUACGAAGGUGCGCUCAGACCGGUCGGAAAUCGGUCGUAGAGUAUAAAGGCAAAAGCGCGCUUGACUGCGAGACAGACACGUCGAGCAGGUACGAAAGUAGGUCUUAGUGAUCCGGUGGUUCUGUAUGGAAGGGCCAUCGCUCAACGGAUAAAAGGUACUCCGGGGAUAACAGGCUGAUACCGCCCAAGAGUUCAUAUCGACGGCGGUGUUUGGCACCUCGAUGUCGGCUCAUCACAUCCUGGGGCUGAAGCCGGUCCCAAGGGUAUGGCUGUUCGCCAUUUAAAGUGGUACGCGAGCUGGGUUUAGAACGUCGUGAGACAGUUCGGUCCCUAUCUGCCGUGGACGUUUGAGAUUUGAGAGGGGCUGCUCCUAGUACGAGAGGACCGGAGUGGACGAACCUCUGGUGUUCCGGUUGUCACGCCAGUGGCAUUGCCGGGUAGCUAUGUUCGGAAUAGAUAACCGCUGAAAGCAUCUAAGCGGGAAACUAGCCUCAAGAUGAGAUCUCACUGGAACCUUGAGUUCCCUGAAGGGCCGUCGAAGACUACGACGUUGAUAGGUUGGGUGUGUAAGCGCUGUGAGGCGUUGAGCUAACCAAUACUAAUUGCCCGUGAGGCUUGACCAU
Molecule: ribosomal RNA, 2892 nt
Filed under: Pseudomonas extremorientalis
Lineage: Bacteria; Pseudomonadati; Pseudomonadota; Gammaproteobacteria; Pseudomonadales; Pseudomonadaceae
Description: 23S ribosomal RNA
Rfam family: Bacterial large subunit ribosomal RNA
Source: RNAcentral